RNAcentral lists this ribosomal RNA (253 nucleotides) under uncultured bacterium. RNAcentral's name for it is "partial 16S ribosomal RNA". It matches the Rfam family "Bacterial small subunit ribosomal RNA", at positions 524 to 776 of the family's 1533-position model. The record is from RNAcentral.
UACGUAGGUGGCAAGCGUUGUCCGGAUUUACUGGGUGUAAAGGGCGCGCAGCCGGAGAGGCAAGUCAGAUGUGAAAUCCGCGGGCUCAACCCGCGAACUGCAUUUGAAACUGCUUCCCUUGAGUAUCGGAGAGGUAACCGGAAUUCCUAGUGUAGCGGUGAAAUGCGUAGAUAUUAGGAAGAACACCAGUGGCGAAGGCGGGUUACUGGACGACAACUGACGGUGAGGCGCGAAAGCGUGGGGAGCAAACAGG